RNAcentral lists this ribosomal RNA (464 nucleotides) under uncultured bacterium. RNAcentral's name for it is "partial 16S ribosomal RNA". It matches the Rfam family "Bacterial small subunit ribosomal RNA", at positions 28 to 507 of the family's 1533-position model. The record is from RNAcentral.
GACGAACGCUGGCGGCGUGCUUAACACAUGCAAGUCGUACGGUAAGGCCCUUUCGGGGUUCCCGGGUGGGGAAAGGGUGAGUAAACCGUGAGUAACCUGGCCCCAACCUUGGGGAAACGCUUGGAAACUGGUGCCAAAACCGGAUAUGUUCCUCCUCCGCCAGGGGGGGGGUGGAAAGCCCCGGCGGUUGUGGAUGGACUCGCGGCCUUUCAGCUUGGUGGUGGGGUAGUGGCCUACCAAGGCGGCGACGGGUAGCCGGCCUGAGAGGGUGACCGGCCACAUUGGGACUGAGAUACGGCCCAGACUCCUACGGGAGGCAGCAGUGGGGAAUAUUGCACAAUGGGCGCAAGCCUGAUGCAGCAACGCCGCGUGCGGGAGGACGGCCUUCGGGUUGUAAACCGCUUUCAGCAGGGACGAAGCUUUUUGUGACGGUACCUGCAGAAGAAGCACCGGCUAACUACGUG